Molecule: long non-coding RNA, 1418 nt
Organism: Chenopodium quinoa (quinoa)
Lineage: Eukaryota; Viridiplantae; Streptophyta; Magnoliopsida; Caryophyllales; Amaranthaceae
Exons: 3
Source: RefSeq, a predicted model, not a curated record
AUAAUAGUAAUGAACACAUUUAUUAGUAACUUUGUAAUACAUUUUAAUAUUCAAAAUUAAUACUAAUAUCAAGUUUAAUUAAGUUAAUUAUUUGGGUUUUGAUUUUAUUAUUAAAUUUAUAUCACAAAUGACUUUCCUUGACUCUUUGACUUCACACCCCAUCCAAAAAAAAGCAAAGGAAACAUUAAAAAAACAUAACUGUCCUUUUCAAAAUUUUACUCCGGUGAAAUUAAAGACCAAACCCUUCCUUUCAUCUGAAAUCGAACUAAACAACUCCGGCCGCAUCAACACCGAAGUCUGACUCCACCUACCUACAAGGAUAUUGAUUCCCCACCCUUCCAUACCACCAUCGUCGAACUUGGUUACCCUAAUUAAAGUAGGAAUACGCUAUGCCAGAGGAAGGGAAAACUUGGUUCACCGUUCUGAUUAACGACGAGAAGUUGUCUGAAUUGGUGAGAAAUUACUUCUUAAAUUGACAGUACAUAAGUGUAUUGAGAACUUGUCCUGCUAUCACCCUUGAAUUUUAACAUGUACCUUUUAAAUCUUAUACCAGUUUGUUCCAAAUCAAAUUAGUAAGCUCUUUCGCAGGAUUACAAAACAUGUUAGGGUCUAUAGAGGCGAUAACACACGGAUUUACCAUGUUAAGUGGGUUAAGAUAGAGAAAAAUCAGGCAUAGAGAUAUAUUUUAAGGAUGGAUGGUCUGAUUUCGUGAAGGACAACGGCAUAAUGCUUGGUGAUAUACUUGACUUAUUGUAUAUGGGUGAUGGGGCAUUCAAAGUACGUAUCUAGUGUGGUGGCAAAUACAUCCCUGACUCUAUUGAGACAUCUUCUGAUUCUUCGGAAGACAUUGAGCAAAUUGAAAAUGAUGCUGAAAUGGAGGAGGAUGCUAAAAUAGAGGAAGCUAGCCACAACGAUGCUGAAAUGGAGGAGUCUAGCCACAAUGAUGCUGGGUUGGAGGAGGAUACUCUCUCCUUUCCAAAUAACAGGGCUCCACUUCAGUUUGUUUGGAUACGAGAAUCCUACUGACAUCUGGGACGGAAACAAUGAAAUGUGGAAAGCAAAAUUGUUUGUGAAGCGAGAUUCCAAUGUGAAAAUUGUCUUUUGCAACAUCAGGGAAGGGGUCAAGGAGAUGAUGCAUGGUGUGAAGGUUAUGGCUAGGAAGAAGGUCAUUGUACAGUUGCUUCGAAAGAAUCCCCUAGCCUUCAAGGUCUCAAUCAAGUAGUACCAAAAUCAAACACUUCUGUUAUAUGGAGGGCAUUACUUUUUGAACUAAUGUUUGUCAACAACUCUUUUGUUUCCAUUUUGUCUGACUUGUGUUGUAUCUAGGUCAUCUUUUGGGAUGUUGAAAAUAUUUCCUAAUGGCUUAUGUGUAUCACGUAUGUGCUUGUUUUUGAAUUGUAUUUACUCGCCUUUGAACA